UGCAUUCUAGAGAGAGAGAGCUGAGAUGAGUAUGCUAUAAAGGACUCUACAGCUAUGGAGGGCUGGUGAUUUCCAUCACAUACCCAUUCAAUUCAUCUGUUUAGUCUAUGAAGAAGACAGGUUAUAUCAACUCUCCAACUUUGUCCUAUUCUGUUCCACAGGGAACAGAUUGUCUUUACAUUCUACAAGACAUCCCAUGGAUCCACUACCCUGAUGGACCAGGGGAGUAGGGAAUAGCAACUACUUUAAACACUUUGAUAUCAACAAAAGCCAGGGCUGGGCCAAGCUGAAGCUGGGAGCCAGGAACUCAAUCCCAUUCUUCAGGACAACUUUCCAAGGUCCUUUACAUGCUAACUUUGAGUAAGCAUCAUUAGAAGAAAGCGCCAAUAUUGCCUCCUGGAAGAUGGUAUCACAGCAACACUUCUUGUGUCUGGAAUCAAGACUCAUUCCUAUCAUUUCCUCCAAACUCACAGGUCGUCUGCAGUCAGAGGAUCCCCAGCAAGGCUAUUAAGUGAAGCGUGUCUCCAUCCCUUCUGCCGUCAGCAGAAGCAAUACCAACAGCUGCUUCUGAGUGGGCCUUUCUAGUGGAAGAAGUGUGAGCUGAGAGUCACAUCACACACUGUGGGUUCUGAUGCUAAUACAACAGUCUUCCUGCUUUCAUCUUGACCACCUGUAGUUUAUUCUCAGCAGAGUAGCCUGCGUGGGGCUUAUAAAGGGAAAUCAAAUCACAGCACUCCUUUCUCAAAACCUUCUUUUGGCUUCUCGUUUAACCCAGCCUUUGACUAUGUUGGGUGUUUUCCAGUUUAGGACUGGACUCUGCUGGAAAGGGCUGGAAAGCUCUUGACCUAGAUUUUCUCAGGGAUCACUGCCCCAUUUUCUUCAAGUGUUGAUUCAAGUGUCAUUUUCCCAAAGAGCUUAUUCUGGCACUUUACCUAAAAUAGUGAGGGGAAACUCCUCCAUGGCCCAAGGGGCCUUGGCUACGUUCUUAUCCCUCUAACCUGCUCUGAGUCUUGUCUCCAGAAUCUUAUGUUCUAAUGUACUGCAUCACUAAUUAUGUUUAAUACUUAUUUGAAUGCAGUCUUCAUAUAAUUAGAUAUCUUUGUGUGUUCUGUUAUCUGGCUCCAGUGCCUAGAAGACAGCUUGGUACAUAGUAAACACUCAAUAAACACUUAUUGAAUAAGUUAAUUAUUUAAUUGGAGAACAAAAAUAGUUCAUACAUUACAAAGGGACCUGUAGAGGUUGUCCCCAGUGGCCACACACUUUCAUUCUAUUUCAUUCUACUUUUACACCAACUACAUGUCAGGCUCUGUUCUUGUGGAUUUCACAUACAGAGAGUCAGAGUAACUGGUUUCCUGCAAGGUGGCCUUUGAGAGAAGGAGUUGGUUCUUCUGUUAGAGCUUCCAUCUAGUGCUUGAAUCAAUAAGCUUUGGAAGAGUG
Oryctolagus cuniculus (rabbit) is the source of this 1437-nucleotide non-coding RNA. Lineage: Eukaryota; Metazoa; Chordata; Mammalia; Lagomorpha; Leporidae. The record is from RefSeq and is a predicted model, not a curated record.